GGGAGAAAGCAGGGGACCUUCGGGCCUUGCGCUAUCAGAUGAGCCUAGGUCGGAUUAGCUAGUUGGUGGGGUAAAGGCCUACCAAGGCGACGAUCCGUAACUGGUCUGAGAGGAUGAUCAGUCACACUGGAACUGAGACACGGUCCAGACUCCUACGGGAGGCAGCAGUGGGGAAUAUUGGACAAUGGGCGAAAGCCUGAUCCAGCCAUGCCGCGUGUGUGAAGAAGGUCUUCGGAUUGUAAAGCACUUUAAGUUGGGAGGAAGGGCAGUAAGUUAAUACCUUGCUGUUUUGACGUUACCAACAGAAUAAGCACCGGCUAACUUCGUGCCAGCAGCCGCGGUAAUACGAAGGGUGCAAGCGUUAAUCGGAAUUACUGGGCGUAAAGCGCGCGUAGGUGGUUUGGUAAGAUGG
This 412-nucleotide ribosomal RNA is filed under the name Pseudomonas nitroreducens. Its description in RNAcentral is "bacterial SSU rRNA". It matches the Rfam family "Bacterial small subunit ribosomal RNA", at positions 198 to 591 of the family's 1533-position model. The record is from RNAcentral. Lineage: Bacteria; Pseudomonadati; Pseudomonadota; Gammaproteobacteria; Pseudomonadales; Pseudomonadaceae.